UAGAGCACUGUUUCGGCUAGGGGGCCAUCCCGGCUUACCAACCCGAUGCAAACUGCGAAUACCGGAGAAUGUUAUCACGGGAGACACACGGCGGGUGCUAACGUCCGUCGUGAAGAGGGAAACAACCCAGACCGCCAGCUAAGGUCCCAAAGUCAUGGUUAAGUGGGAAACGAUGUGGGAAGGCCCAGACAGCCAGGAUGUUGGCUUAGAAGCAGCCAUCAUUUAAAGAAAGCGUAAUAGCUCACUGGUCGAGUCGGCCUGCGCGGAAGAUGUAACGGGGCUAAACCAUGCACCGAAGCUGCGGCAGCGACGCUUAUGCGUUGUUGGGUAGGGGAGCGUUCUGUAAGCCUGCGAAGGUGGCCUGUGAGGGUUGCUGGAGGUAUCAGAAGUGCGAAUGCUGACAUAAGUAACGAUAAAGCGGGUGAAAAGCCCGCUCGCCGGAAGACCAAGGGUUCCUGUCCAACGUUAAUCGGGGCAGGGUGAGUCGACCCCUAAGGCGAGGCCGAAAGGCGUAGUCGAUGGGAAACGGGUUAAUAUUCCCGUACUUGGUGUUACUGCGAAGGGGGGACGGAGAAGGCUAUGUUGGCCGGGCGACGGUUGUCCCGGUUUAAGCGUGUAGGUGUGUGUUCCAGGUAAAUCCGGUU
RNAcentral lists this ribosomal RNA (644 nucleotides) under Salmonella enterica. RNAcentral's name for it is "partial 23S ribosomal RNA". It matches the Rfam family "Bacterial large subunit ribosomal RNA", at positions 903 to 1547 of the family's 2925-position model. The record is from RNAcentral. Lineage: Bacteria; Pseudomonadati; Pseudomonadota; Gammaproteobacteria; Enterobacterales; Enterobacteriaceae.